RNAcentral lists this long non-coding RNA (1355 nucleotides) under Sus scrofa (pig). Its description in RNAcentral is "lncRNA (ENSSSCG00050074439.1)". The record is from RNAcentral. Lineage: Eukaryota; Metazoa; Chordata; Mammalia; Artiodactyla; Suidae.
GUGGAGGAAUUCAACUCUAAUGUCAUAGCCCCUUAAAAAGGAAAUGGAGACAGGCUAGUAGUUGUAUUUUGAUGCAUUAAGAAGUGUGGAAAUGGAGAGCAAUCUCAAAUCUCUAAGUAUUCUUAUUAGAAUUAAAAAAGACAUAGAUUGAGAAUCAGAUUUUUAUUUCAACCUUGGGUCUCAUUUAGGUGAAUACAUGCUACUGGACUGAUCCUCUGUCAAAUUCCAUGAGUGUGUUUAAUUUCCAGCAUAAUAAACAAAUGAGGCAUUGGAGUUGUCACAUUACUUGGAAGAGGCAGGUUUUCAGAGCAUCUGGAGAACGUCUCCUAUGGCCAGACAUCUGCAUCAGCAAGCUCACUGGGGACCUGCCAGGCUCUUCACUGGUGACAUGGAGGAUGAUGGUCUCCAGCCCCGUCUGCAGACUUAGCUGUGACCUGGCCCAGAUCCAUGGCCUGCCAAAGCAGGAGACCCCCACAGUUCUGCACCUAAUGGGGAGAGUCCUCCUUGUUUUCCUGCCUGAAGGACAGGAAUGCUUUGGGGUUCCCCAAAAGCUGAACAGCAGGCAGUUGCAAAAAGCUCAGGCCACCUCUUUCUCCAUGAGAUGAUCCAGCCGAGCUUCAACUUGUUUGGCACAAACAGCUGAAAUUCCUCACUGGGCUUGAUCAGCAGGAGGAAGCUCUGCAGACCAGUUUGGUGCAGGAGCCUGGGGAAGAAAAGACCUUCCUGGAGAUGAGGACUCUAGCCUGACUUUGAAUAACUCCUUUUGAAGGACCAGGUUACAUCUGAAAAGGAAGUACAUAGCUGCUGUGCACGGGACAUUGUCAGACUGGAAAUUAAGACCUGAAAACCAGUAUGUGCUUUCCCUAUAGCAUCAACCUCAGAGAAAAUCCAGGAGUGGGAAAGGAGACUUGGACCCAGUCAUGUACAACUGAGUCUUAUCUACUUAUAGGUGCCUCUUGUGUGUCAGUGUUCCCUCAGUUCAAAGACUUUUCUGCUUCGGUUGUAAAUGCAUUGAGUCAUCUCGGCAAAUUGUUUUUCAAUACUAAAAAGAGAGUAUAAUUUUGAAUUGAGAGUAACUUUUUAGUGUGGUAUUUACAGAUAAAUUCUCUAUGAGUUUUGUAUUUACAAAUUUUUUUUUUCAUUUUAUGCCCUGCUAUGUAUCUUGUUUUUCUUUGCACUGGGGUGCAAGAGACAUACUUUGUUUUUUUAAGGCUUUGCUUACUGUAUUUUUUUUUAUUUUAUGAUUUUUAUUUUUUCCAUUAUAGUUGCUUUACAGUGUUAGAUCUUACUCACACUGUUAUGCAAAGUAUCCUUAAACCUUUAAUCGGCCUUAAAACCCUAAAAGAAUGUUUUAC